Molecule: ribosomal RNA, 253 nt
Filed under: uncultured bacterium
Lineage: Bacteria
Description: partial 16S ribosomal RNA
Rfam family: Bacterial small subunit ribosomal RNA
Source: RNAcentral
UACGGGGGGGGCAAGCGUUGUUCGGAAUUACUGGGCGUAAAGGGUUCGUAGGGGGCCAACUAAGUCGGACGUGAAAUCCCUCAGCUUAACUGGGGAACUGCGUCUGAUACUGGUUGGCUUGAGUGCAGGAGAGGAACGCGGAAUUCCAGGUGUAGCGGUGAAAUGCGUAGAUAUCUGGAGGAACACCGGUGGCGAAGGCGGCGUUCUGGACUGCAACUGACACUGAGGAACGAAAGCCAGGGGAGCAAACGGG